This is a long non-coding RNA of Epinephelus fuscoguttatus (brown-marbled grouper), 288 nucleotides long. RefSeq lists it as uncharacterized. NCBI's taxonomy places the organism in Eukaryota, Metazoa, Chordata, Actinopteri, Perciformes, Serranidae. The transcript is spliced from 3 exons. The record is from RefSeq and is a predicted model, not a curated record.
GCCUUGUUUAAAGGUCCAGUGGAUCAAUGACUAUAAAGGACGUGGUGUAUUUGCCUGUGCACCGAUUGAAAAGGGAUCCUUUGUGGUGGAAUACCGUGGAGAGUUAAUCUCACAACAUGAACGAGACAAGCGGCAGAAAAAAUACACAGAGAAGCAAAAUGCUUUCCUGUUUGAUUUUGAAUGGAACAACAGCACAUGGUGCAUCGAUGCCUCCCAUGAAGAUGACUCAAUGGGCCGGCUGGUUAAUGAUGCCCACAAGUCCCCAAACUGCAAAAUGAAAAAGCUGAC